Molecule: ribosomal RNA, 480 nt
Filed under: uncultured bacterium
Lineage: Bacteria
Description: partial 16S ribosomal RNA
Rfam family: Bacterial small subunit ribosomal RNA
Source: RNAcentral
GACGAACGCUGGCGGCGUGCUUAACACAUGCAAGUCGAACGGAAAGGCCUGCUUUCCCUUGUGGAUUGCGGGUACUCGGGUGGCUAACGGGUGAGUAACACGUGAGUGAUCUGCCCCCAACUUGGGUAUAAGCCUGGGAAACUGGGUCUAAUUCCCGAUCGGACUGCAGGGUGGUGCCUGUGGUGGAAAACGCUUGUGUGGUGGUUGGGGAUGAGCUCGCGGCGUGUCAGCUUGUUGGUGAGGUAAUGGCUUACCAAGGCGGAGCGGGGUAGCCGGCCUGAGAGGGUGACCGGCCACACGGGGACUGAGACCCGGCGCGGACUCCUACGGGAGGCAGCGGUGGGGAAUAUUGCACAAUGGGCGCAAGCCUGAUGCAGCAACGCCGCGUGAGGGAUGACGGCCUUCGGGUUGUAAACCUCUUUUAGUAGGGAAGAAGCGAAAGUGACGGUACCUGCAGAAAAAGCACCGGCUAACUACGUG